CCGUAAACCCAAGGUUUCCUACGCGAUGCUCGUCAUCGUAGGGUUAGUCGGGUCCUAAGUCGAGUCCGAAAGGGGUAGACGAUGGCAAAUUGGUUAAUAUUCCAAUACCAACAUUAGUGUGCCAUGGAAGGACGCUUAGGGCUAAGGGGGCUAGCGGAUGGAAGUGCUAGUCUAAGGUCGUAGGAGGUUAUACAGGCAAAUCCGUAUAACAAUACUCCGAGAACUGAAAGGCUUUUUGAAGUCUUCGGAUGGAUAGAAGAACCCCUGAUGCCGUCGAGCCAAGAAAAGUUUCUAAGUUUAGCUAAUGUUGCCCGUACCGUAAACCGACACAGGUGGGUGGGAUGAGUAUUCUAAGGCGCGUGGAAGAACUCUCUUUAAGGAACUCUGCAAAAU
This 393-nucleotide ribosomal RNA is filed under the name Streptococcus sp. WM07. RNAcentral describes it as "partial 23S ribosomal RNA". It matches the Rfam family "Bacterial large subunit ribosomal RNA", at positions 1337 to 1723 of the family's 2925-position model. Lineage: Bacteria; Bacillati; Bacillota; Bacilli; Lactobacillales; Streptococcaceae. RNAcentral also lists the same sequence under 1 other name. The record is from RNAcentral.